This 253-nucleotide ribosomal RNA is filed under the name uncultured bacterium. RNAcentral's name for it is "partial 16S ribosomal RNA". It matches the Rfam family "Bacterial small subunit ribosomal RNA", at positions 524 to 776 of the family's 1533-position model. The record is from RNAcentral.
UACAGAGGGUGCGAGCGUUAUCCGGAAUUACUGGGCGUAAAGGGCGUGUAGGUGGUUUGUUAAGUUCGAUGUUAAAGCGUGAGGCUCAACCUCAUAAUGGCGUUGAAUACUGGCAAGCUAGACGACUGGAGAGGAAAGCAGAAUUACCAGUGUAGCGGUGAAAUGCGUAGAUACUGGUAGGAAUACCCAUUGCGAAGGCAGCUUUCUGGACAGUUUGUGACACUCAGACGCGAAAGUGUGGGGAGCAAACCGG